This 164-nucleotide ribosomal RNA is filed under the name Lachancea thermotolerans. RNAcentral's name for it is "partial large subunit ribosomal RNA". It matches the Rfam family "Eukaryotic large subunit ribosomal RNA", at positions 99 to 261 of the family's 3401-position model. The record is from RNAcentral. Lineage: Eukaryota; Fungi; Ascomycota; Saccharomycetes; Saccharomycetales; Saccharomycetaceae.
CGGCAAAAGCUCAAAUUUGAAAUCUGGCACCUUCGGUGUCCGAGUUGUAAUUUGAAGAAGUAACUUUGGGUCUAGUCCUUGUCUAUGUUCCUUGGAACAGGACGUCAUGGAGGGUGAGAAUCCCGUAUGGCGAGGAAUCUAGUCCUAUGUAAAGUGCUUUCGAC